RNAcentral lists this ribosomal RNA (971 nucleotides) under Alexandrium affine. Its description in RNAcentral is "LSU rRNA". It matches the Rfam family "Eukaryotic large subunit ribosomal RNA", at positions 22 to 942 of the family's 3401-position model. Lineage: Eukaryota; Dinophyceae; Gonyaulacales; Pyrocystaceae. The record is from RNAcentral.
UACCCGCUGAGAAAUUAAGCAUAUAAGUAAGUGGUGGAAAUUAAACCAAAUGGGAUUCCUUAAGUAAUUGCGAAUGAACAAGGACAUGCUUAGCUUGACAAUUGGAGCCUCUGGCUUCGACUUGUAUUUUUGAAAUGUAUUACCAACAGAGGUGCAGGUGUCAGCCUAUUGAAAGAAAGCGUCAAUGAGGGUGAGAAUCCUGUUUGUCAUGUGCAAUCCUCUGUGCACGGUGUAUGUUUGCUGAGUCACACUCCUUGGCAUUGGAAUGCAAAGUGGGUGGUAAGUUUCAUGUAAAGGUAAAUAUAGGAUUGAGACUGAUAGCACACAAGUACCAUGAGGGAAAUAUGAAAAGGACUUUGAAAAGAGAAUUAAAUGAGUUUGUAUUUGCUGAACAGAAAAUAAACAGAUUUGAUGUUGCUUGGUGAGAUUGUGGUGCUUGCUUGACAAUAGGUUUUGAUUGUGGGUGUGAUGAUUCUUGCUUUGCUUGCCAGUUUCUAUUUGUACAUUUGAUUACCCUUGCACAUGAAUGGUAAUUUUCCUGCGGGGUUUGGAUUGCAUGUGUUUGUGAUGAUUUGUGUUUUGAUACAUGUGUCUGGUGCUUUUGUAAUUGCUCAUUUCUUGAAGCUGGGCCUACCCUACUAGAGCUUACAAGCCCUGGCACACAAUUGCUGGCAAAAUGCUUCUGCUUGACCCGUCUUGAAACACGGACCAAGGAGUCUAACAGAUGUGCAAGCUUGAGGGUUGCAUACCUUUGUGCGCAAUGAAAGUGUUGGCUGGGAUAUUUGCACCAGCAGCCGACCAAUUAGCAGACAGAGGUUCGAGUUGGAGCAUAUCUAUUAGGACCCGAAAGAUGGUGAACUAUGCCUGAACAGAAUGAAUUCAGAGGAAACUCUGAUGGAGGUUCGUAUCGAUACUGACGUGCAAAUCGUUCGUCAUAUUUGGGUAUAGGGGCGAAAGACUUUUGGCCCCCG